UUGUAUUCAGUUGGUUUCAGUUAAAUUUGUCACUUCUCAGUUCAUUUUUGGUAGCAAAAACUAGCUGGGCAGUGUAUGUAUAUUAUAAACCUGUAAACCAUUCCCUUUGAGUUUAUGUAAACAAAAAUGAACUGAAAAAAUGAACUGUUAUAAUAGCUGGGCAGUGUUUUCUGUAAACUGUAAUGGUACUCUUUGUUUUUCCUAAUUUAUGUUCUACUUUUAAGGAUUUCCUUGUCAAGUGCACAUACAGCUUAUGAUAUCCUUCUUGUAAACUGCCCACUAAACUAUGGAGUGGAUUCACUUUAUUGCAGUUUAUUCAUUUGUGCAAGUCAUUCACAUUAUUGCAGUUUCAGUUUCUAUAAAUUUACUUUAUAAUGAAGUUAGAAUGCAGUUUCAGUUUCAG
This 403-nucleotide long non-coding RNA is filed under the name Panax ginseng (ginseng). RNAcentral describes it as "long non-coding RNA (PGIN_LNC013546)". Lineage: Eukaryota; Viridiplantae; Streptophyta; Magnoliopsida; Apiales; Araliaceae. The record is from RNAcentral.